Molecule: long non-coding RNA, 1269 nt
Organism: Nicrophorus vespilloides
Lineage: Eukaryota; Metazoa; Arthropoda; Insecta; Coleoptera; Silphidae
Exons: 7
Source: RefSeq, a predicted model, not a curated record
AAAUCAAUGGGAUAUAACUGGAUCAGUAGUGUGCAUUGGUGUAUGAUGAUGCACGAAGCGCGCAGUUAGUUCGUGCGGUGAGGAUCUUUAUUCAAUUAAAAACCGCGGAAGAUUGAAGCGUCAGAGGAGCCAUUAACGUGCCGUAAUAGCCCGGAUAAUCUCAGCAGAGCGUUUCAACGAUUCAACCCAUCCUCGAAAUCCCUUUCCCGAAUCAGACGUUCAGUAAUUAACGCGAAAAGGUCGCGCCCGGUUCAAAUCAGGUCUCUCAUCUCUACAUUUUGGGAUCCGCCGGAGUGGAAAUAGUGUCCAUACAUCAACAUAAACGACGAGGAGUUGGAAGAAAACACGCACGGGGAUUGAUGGAGAGAAGGGUCGAAGAAGGACCCGCAGGUCCUCCUUUUUUUCUCUCCGGGUUUUGUUUACCCAAUGCGGACACUGCCAAAUCCACGUGAAAUCUCCGGUUGCGUUGAUGUACGUCCCUGAGAAAACACAACAAAGGAGACCGAAAUCACUGUUUGCCGAAGGAGCUUGAAGAAAAAGUAAACUUGAAAGAUGUAUACCUCACUAAGAGUUCGCACUAGCGGUGGAUGCGCCGGUGAAUAAUACAAACACCACAAAUUGAAGAAUAAACACUUAUGACGCAACUGAAGGGUGGAUGUUUGAACGUACAUACUAAAAAGGGUCCAGGUACAUCAUAAAUCAUGCCUUUCUGACAUUUGGCUCUGUUAACCAUUACGUGCCGAAGUGGCCGACACAGAAACCGUUUAAAGUCCUCGACCAAACACUCGGGGAGCAGAAGAACGCGCGAAAGAAGCGUCGCAAAAAAAAAAAUGAGUGAGGAUGAAUGGAAAUGGAAUAGGACUUGGAGAUUAUCCCGGUUUGCUUUAUUUCCCUUUUCCGUCGCUCACGAUCCAUUUUUUUCUCUUGCCUCUCUUCUCUUCUUCUGGCAUUUUCGGUUAAUAAAGCGGGAUUUCGCUCCGAAAAAUGUUAUUAGCGACAGCGAAGAGAGAAAGAGAAGAUUGAUGGCUUAAACAAACAAUUUCGCUUCACAAAGCGUCACAUGGAAUGGUGGAGGAAAAGUGAGAGAAAGAGAGGAAGGAAGGAAACGGCGGAGGUUUAAAUGAGGUCCUUUUAAUGGUGUAUAUCUCCGUCAAGUUUUGGAGUGAUUGCGAUUUUCGCGGUCGUUAGAGACGGACUAAAUAUGGAUGAAAUAAUAUGAAGAAAAUGAUAAAGCGGAUUUCGAUUCACAAUUGAUCCUUAAAGAGAGAA